UCCUGGUGGCGAGUGGCGAACGGGUGAGUAAUAUAUCGGAACGUGCCCAGUCGUGGGGGAUAACGCAGCGAAAGCUGUGCUAAUACCGCAUACGAUCUAUGGAUGAAAGCGGGGGACUCGUAAGGGCCUCGCGCGAUUGGAGCGGCCGAUAUCAGAUUAGCUAGUUGGUGGGGUAAAAGCCCACCAAGGCGACGAUCUGUAGCUGGUCUGAUAGGACGACCAGCCACACUGGAACUGAGACACGGUCCAGACUCCUACGGGAGGCAGCAGUGGGGAAUUUUGGACAAUGGGCGCAAGCCUGAUCCAGCAAUGCCGCGUGCAGGAUGAAGGCCUUCGGGUUGUAAACUGCUUUUGUACGGAACGAAACGGUGAGCUCUAAUAAAGUUUGCUAAUGACGGUACCGUAAGAAUAAGCACCGGCUAACUACGUGCCAGCAGCCGCGGUAAUACGUAGGGUGCAAGCGUUAAUCGGAAUUACUGGGCGUAAAGCGUGCGCAGGCGGUGAUGUAAGACAGAUGUGAAAUCCCCGGGCUCAACCUGGGACCUGCAUUUGUGACUGCAUCGCUAGAGUACGGUAGAGGGGGAUGGAAUUCCGCGUGUAGCAGUGAAAUGCGUAGAUAUGCGGAGGAACACCGAUGGCGAAGGCAAUCCCCUGGACCUGUACUGACGCUCAUGCACGAAAGCGUG
RNAcentral lists this ribosomal RNA (686 nucleotides) under uncultured bacterium. RNAcentral's name for it is "bacterial SSU rRNA". It matches the Rfam family "Bacterial small subunit ribosomal RNA", at positions 83 to 763 of the family's 1533-position model. The record is from RNAcentral.